Molecule: ribosomal RNA, 253 nt
Filed under: uncultured bacterium
Lineage: Bacteria
Description: partial 16S ribosomal RNA
Rfam family: Bacterial small subunit ribosomal RNA
Source: RNAcentral
UACGUAGGCAGCGAGCGUUGUUCGGAAUUACUGGGCGUAAAGAGUGUGUAGGCGGUGCUCCAAGUCUGUCGUGAAAUCUCCCGGCUCAACUGGGAGGGUGCGGCGGAAACUAGAGUGCUCGAGUGUGGGAGAGGUAAGCGGAAUUCCUGGUGUAGCGGUGAAAUGCGUAGAUAUCAGGAGGAACACCUGCGGUGUAGACAGCUUACUGGACCACGACUGACGCUGAGACACGAAAGCGUGGGUAGCAAACAGG